This is an RNA transcript of Musa acuminata AAA Group (dessert banana), 1833 nucleotides long. It is a transcript of the gene named transcription termination factor MTERF6, chloroplastic/mitochondrial-like, with no coding region annotated. The record is from RefSeq and is a predicted model, not a curated record. NCBI's taxonomy places the organism in Eukaryota, Viridiplantae, Streptophyta, Magnoliopsida, Zingiberales, Musaceae. The transcript is spliced from 2 exons.
UUCACUCCUCUUUCUUCUCCCAAUGGCGGCUGCGACGUUCCGCUCCGUACUCCACCGCAAUCGCCUCCUGCCCUUGUUCGAAACCUGCUGCCUUCGACAUCUCCUCUUCUUCUCCUCCUCUGUCGACGAUGCCGCCGCAGUAGCCGGCACCAUGUCUCCAGAUCCCCACUUCAUGGUGGAAUACCUCGUGAACUCCUGCGGGUUCUCCCCCUCCGAGGCAGCCAAGGUCUCUAAACCCCUUGCGCACCUCCGAGCCACUGAGAAACCCGACGCCGUCCUUAACUUCUUGAGAUCUCAGGGCUUCGACGGCGCCGGUAUCAGGAAGGUGAUAUCUGCGGAUCCCAGAUACUUAUGCUACAACGUGGAGAAGAACCUCGCCUCGAAGUUUCAGUUCUUACGUGAUUUGGGCCUAUCGGAGUCGGACAUCGUCGAUGUCAUCCGGAAUAACCAUGUGAUCCUCUGCCGCAACGUUCACCGUUCCCUUGUCCCCAAAUUGGAGAUGUGGGAAAGUCUCUUGGGAUCGAGAGAGCUUGUUCUCAAGCGUCUCAAGAAGACAGGAUGGCUUUUCUUCUCCAGCGUUGAGAAGACAUUGCAUCCUAACCUAAAGUUCUUGAGGGAUGAGUGCGGCAUUCCUGAAGAAAGGCUCUCUCUCGUCUUGAGAAGUCACCCAAAAUUAAUCUCACAGAAACCAGAGUCACUCCGAGCUUUGGUGGCGAGAGCCGAUGAGCUGGGGACGCCACGGCUAUCUCGGAUGUUCCUGUGGACACUUGUUGUUCUCCAAAUGGCAAGCAAAGAAACGUUCGAGGCCAAGGCCGAGCUCAUGAGGAGCUUCGGGUGGUCGGAGUCGGAGUUUUCUUCCGUAGUCAGGAAAGUACCCACCUUCUUAUGCAUGUCCCUCGAUAUGAUGCGCAGAAAAAUGGAAUUUUUUAUCAAUGUAGUCGGGUACACCCCUUCCUUCAUCGCCUCCCAACCAACUAUCUUGCUAUAUAGUCUGCAGAAGAGGGUCAUUCCUCGGUUUCAUGUGACGGAGAUGUUGAAAUUGAAAGGAUUGUGGACUGGACAAUGCAAGUUUACAUCGAUUAUCGUAUUCUCAGAUACCAAAUUCAUGGAGAAGUUUGUUCUCCCUCACAAAGAAAAUGUUCCUGAGCUGCUUGAUAUUUUGAGAGCUGCUGGCACCUGUAAAGGUAAUGAUAACUUUCAUUUGCAUCGGAGGAUGAGAAAGGGCUUAGCUGAUGGUCUGAUUUGCCAACGACGAAGGUAGAUUAUUCCCCAAAUUUGAGAUUUUGGAAAUUUUAUGCAAAGAGCUUAUCAAAACGUGAAUUGAGGUUGUAUGGACUUUUCUCUGAGCAUCAAAACUUGAGUAUGCUCUCCUGAAAUGUCUUCAGCCUCCUUUGGAAUUGCUAAUCCGCCCUUUCCCGCAUCAACAAACUCUUACAUGCCUCCUUAGGCUUCUGCUCAUCCGCCCUUUGUGAUUCGAGCAGCAGAUCUCUUCAUUCUUGGAGUUCAUUGUUGGAUUCGGUGGAUGCAACUUCUCAUCCACCCUUUGUAUCAUGGCUGAAGCUUCUGUUCUACCUGAAAGCCUUCGGAAGGCUAAGAGAAUUGCGAUGAUUCGCUGGUUCCUUAAGAAUAUUUUGGAUGACAUCUCAUCUCUCUGUUCAAGUCUUUAUGUUGUCGAUGUGGUCUAUGUUUCCUGGCGUCAUUCAUGACGUGGCUUGUCAGCUAGUCAAUUUUGGGGGAAUUGUAAAUUCUCUUCUGUUUUUUUUUCCUCUUCUAAUGAUGGAUAAGUGUUGCUUAAUCCACUUUAACCUUUAAUGAAAUUUCUCCUUUUUUUCA